RNAcentral lists this ribosomal RNA (460 nucleotides) under uncultured bacterium. Its description in RNAcentral is "partial 16S ribosomal RNA". It matches the Rfam family "Bacterial small subunit ribosomal RNA", at positions 338 to 795 of the family's 1533-position model. The record is from RNAcentral.
ACUACGGGAGGCAGCAGUGAGGAAUAUUGGUCAAUGGACGGAAGUCUGAACCAGCCAUGCCGCGUGCAGGAAGACGGCUCUAUGAGUUGUAAACUGCUUUUGUACAAGGGUAAACCUGAAUACGUGUAUUCAGCUGAAAGUACUGUACGAAUAAGGAUCGGCUAACUCCGUGCCAGCAGCCGCGGUAAUACGGAGGAUCCAAGCGUUAUCCGGAUUUAUUGGGUGUAAAGGGUGCGUAGGACGAUUGCGAAGUUAGAGGUGAAAUGUCCGAGGUUAAUCCGGGAACCGCCUCUAAUACUGUUGAUCUAGAGAGUAGGUGCGGUAGGCGGAAUGUAUGGUGUAGCGGUGAAAUGCUUAGAGAUCAUACAGAACACCGAUUGCGAAGGCAGCUUACCAAUCUAUAUCUGACGUUGAGGCACGAAAGCGUGGGGAGCAAACAGGAUUAGAUACCCUUGUAGUC